RNAcentral lists this ribosomal RNA (911 nucleotides) under Exophiala dermatitidis. RNAcentral's name for it is "LSU rRNA". It matches the Rfam family "Eukaryotic large subunit ribosomal RNA", at positions 37 to 964 of the family's 3401-position model. Lineage: Eukaryota; Fungi; Ascomycota; Eurotiomycetes; Chaetothyriales; Herpotrichiellaceae. The record is from RNAcentral.
AGCAUAUCAAUAAGCGGAGGAAAAGAAACCAACAGGGAUUGCCUCAGUAACGGCGAGUGAAGCGGCAACAGCUCAAAUUUGAAAUCUGGCCUCUUUGGGGUCCGAGUUGUAAUUUGUAGAGGAUGUUUCGGGCACCGCUCCGGUUUAAAUUUCUUGGAACAGAAUGUCAAAGAGGGUGAGAACCCCGUCUUGGACCGGCAGUAGGGCCCAUGUGAAACUCCUUCGACGAGUCGAGUUGUUUGGGAAUGCAGCUCAAAAUGGGUGGUAAAUUUCAUCUAAAGCUAAAUAUUGGCCAGAGACCGAUAGCGCACAAGUAGAGUGAUCGAAAGAUGAAAAGCACUUUGAAAAGAGAGUUAAACAGUACGUGAAAUUGUUGAAAGGGAAGCGCUUGCAACCAGACUUGCGCGCGGCGGUUCCCCCUUCCUUUUGGUUGGGUUAUUCCGCCGUGUCCAGGCCAACAUCGGUUCUGGGGGUCGGUUAAAGGCCUGGGGAAUGUAUCUACCCUUCGGGCGUAGACUUAUAGCCCCGGGUGUCAUGCGACCUCCCGGGACCGAGGAACGCGCUUCGGCUCGGAUGUUGGCGUAAUGGUUGUCAGCGACCCGUCUUGAAACACGGACCAAGGAGUCUAACAUCUAUGCGAGUGUUUGGGUGUCAAACCCGGAACGCGGAAUGAAAGUGAACGGAGGUAGGAAGCUUCGGCUGCACUAUCGACCGAUCCUGAUGUCUUCGGAUGGAUUUGAGUAAGAGCAUAGCUGUUGGGACCCGAAAGAUGGUGAACUAUGCCUGAAUAGGGUGAAGCCAGAGGAAACUCUGGUGGAGGCUCGCAGCGGUUCUGACGUGCAAAUCGAUCGUCAAAUUUGGGUAUAGGGGCGAAAGACUAAUCGAACCAUCUGGUAGCUGGUUCCUGCGAG